Molecule: transfer RNA, 63 nt
Filed under: Physunio superbus
Lineage: Eukaryota; Metazoa; Mollusca; Bivalvia; Unionida; Unionidae
Description: tRNA-Tyr
Source: RNAcentral
AGCAAAAGUGGCCGACUCAGGCAAAAGACUGUAAAUCUUUUAAUGGCAUUUAGCCCAUUGCAA